ACACAUGCAAGUCGAACGAUGAAGCCCUUCGGGGUGGAUUAGUGGCGAACGGGUGAGUAACACGUGGGCAAUCUGCCCUUCACUCUGGGACAAGCCCUGGAAACGGGGUCUAAUACCGGAUAAUACCUGCCUGGGCAUCUGGGUGGGUUAAAAGCUCCGGCGGUGAAGGAUGAGCCCGCGGCCUAUCAGCUUGUUGGUGAGGUAGUGGCUCACCAAGGCGACGACGGGUAGCCGGCCUGAGAGGGCGACCGGCCACACUGGGACUGAGACACGGCCCAGACUCCUACGGGAGGCAGCAGUGGGGAAUAUUGCACAAUGGGCGAAAGCCUGAUGCAGCGACGCCGCGUGAGGGAUGACGGCCUUCGGGUUGUAAACCUCUUUCAGCAGGGAAGAAGCGAAAGUGACGGUACCUGCAGAAGAAGCGCCGGCUAACUACGUGCCAGCAGCCGCGGUAAUACGUAGGGCGCAAGCGUUGUCCGGAAUUAUUGGGCGUAAAGAGCUCGUAGGCGGCUUGUCACGUCGGUUGUGAAAGCCCGGGGCUUAACCCCGGGUCUGCAGUCGAUACGGGCAGGCUAGAGUGUGGUAGGGGAGAUCGGAAUUCCUGGUGUAGCGGUGAAAUGCGCAGAUAUCAGGAGGAACACCGGUGGCGAAGGCGGAUCUCUGGGCCAUUACUGACGCUGAGGAGCGAAAGCGUGGGGAGCGAACAGGAUUAGAUACCCUGGUAGUCCACGCCGUAAACGGUGGGAACUAGGUGUUGGCGACAUUCCACGUCGUCGGUGCCGCAGCUAACGCAUUAAGUUCCCCGCCUGGGGAGUACGGCCGCAAGGCUAAAACUCAAAGGAAUUGACGGGGGCCCGCACAAGCAGCGGAGCAUGUGGCUUAAUUUGACGCAACGCGAAGAACCUUACCAAGGCUUGACAUCGCCCGGAAAGCAUCAGAGAUGGUGCCCCCCUUGUGGUCGGGUGACAGGUGGUGCAUGGCUGUCGUCAGCUCGUGUCGUGAGAUGUUGGGUUAAGUCCCGCAACGAGCGCAACCCUUGUUCUGUGUUGCCAGCAUGCCCUUCGGGGUGAUGGGGACUCACAGGAGACUGCCGGGGUCAACUCGGAGGAAGGUGGGGAGGACGUCAAGUCAUCAUGCCCCUUAUGUCUUGGGCUGCACACGUGCUACAAUGGCAGGUACAAUGAGCUGCGAUGCCGCGAGGCGGAGCGAAUCUCAAAAAGCCUGUCUCAGUUCGGAUUGGGGUCUGCAACUCGACCCCAUGAAGUCGGAGUUGCUAGUAAUCGCAGAUCAGCAUUGCUGCGGUGAAUACGUUCCCGGGCCUUGUACACACCGCCCGUCACGUCACGAAAGUCGGUAACACCCGAAGCCGGUGGCCCAACCCCCUUGUGGGGAGGGAGCUGUCGAAGGUGGGACUGGCGAUUGGGACGAAGUCGUAACAU
Molecule: ribosomal RNA, 1439 nt
Filed under: Streptomyces phaeochromogenes
Lineage: Bacteria; Bacillati; Actinomycetota; Actinomycetes; Kitasatosporales; Streptomycetaceae
Description: bacterial SSU rRNA
Rfam family: Bacterial small subunit ribosomal RNA
Source: RNAcentral